AUUGAACGCUGGCGGCAGGCCUAACACAUGCCAGUCGAGCGGAUGAAGGGAGCUUGCUCCUGGAUUCAGCGGCGGACGGGUGAGUAAUGCCUAGGAAUCUGCCUGGUAGUGGGGGAUAACGUCCGGAAACGGGCGCUAAUACCGCAUACGUCCUGAGGGAGAAAGUGGGGGAUCUUCGGACCUCACGCUAUCAGAUGAGCCUAGGUCGGAUUAGCUAGUUGGUGGGGUAAAGGCCUACCAAGGCGACGAUCCGUAACUGGUCUGAGAGGAUGAUCAGUCACACUGGAAGUGAGACACGGUCCAGACUCCUACGGGAGGCAGAAGUGGGGAAUAUUGGACGAUGGGCGAAAGCCUGAUCAAGCCAUGCAGCGUGUGUGAAGAAGGUCUUCGGAUUGUAAAGCACUUUAAGUGGGGAGGAAGGGUAGUAAGUUAAUACCUUGCUGUUUUGACGUUACCAACAGAAUAAGCACCGGCUAACUUCGUG
This 484-nucleotide ribosomal RNA is filed under the name uncultured bacterium. Its description in RNAcentral is "partial 16S ribosomal RNA". It matches the Rfam family "Bacterial small subunit ribosomal RNA", at positions 30 to 507 of the family's 1533-position model. The record is from RNAcentral.